Molecule: ribosomal RNA, 441 nt
Filed under: uncultured bacterium
Lineage: Bacteria
Description: partial 16S ribosomal RNA
Rfam family: Bacterial small subunit ribosomal RNA
Source: RNAcentral
CCUACGGGUGGCAGCAGUGGGGAAUAUUGCACAAUGGGGGAAACCCUGAUGCAGCAACGCCGCGUGAGUGAUGAAGUAUUUCGGUAUGUAAAGCUCUAUCAGCAGGGAAUAGAAAAGAAGGUACCUGAAAUAGAAGCCUCGGCUAACUACGUGCCAGCAGCCGCGGUAAUACGUAGGGGGCAAGCGUUAGCCGGAUUUACUGGGUGUAAAGGGAGCGUAGGCGGAAGGGUAAGUCAGAAGUGAAAGCCCAAGGCUCAACCAUGGGACUGCAUUUGAAACUGGCAAACUAGAGUACGGGAGAGGUAAGAGGAAUUCCGAGUGUAGCGGUGAAAUGCGUAGAUAUUAGGAGGAACACCAGUGGCGAAGGCGUCUUACUGGACCGAAACUGACGUUGAGGCUCGAAAGCGUGGGGAGCAAACAGGAUUAGAUACCCUUGUAGUC